Molecule: long non-coding RNA, 1863 nt
Filed under: Homo sapiens (human)
Lineage: Eukaryota; Metazoa; Chordata; Mammalia; Primates; Hominidae
Description: uncharacterized LOC105376944, transcript variant 18 (LOC105376944)
Source: RNAcentral
GGGACUACAGGCGCCCGCCAUCACGCCCGGCUGCUUUUUUUGUUUUAGUAGAGAGGAGGUUUCACCGUGUUAGCCAGGAUGGUCUCAAUCUCCUGACCUCGUGAUCCGCCCGCCUCGGCCUCUCAAAGUGCUGGGAUUACACGCGUGAGCCACCGCGCCUGGCCUGAAGAAAUAGGAAGAAGAAAAGCUUUUUGAAUGAAUCACUUCUCAUCUUCUCCGAAGUUGGAAGCAUCAAGAAUCUAAAUAAGCAUUUAUGAUGGCUGGCAUGAAUAUGCGGAAGAUAGAAUGGGAGUCCUAGUUGACCUUCAUAUAAUUUUUAGAAGAUGGAGCACUUCAACUUCUUCCACUCAUGAAAAGAGAGGUGACAGGUGAAGACAGAACAAGAAAACAAACCAAGAAUUUCCCCUCACCAGCCACCAGCUCUGCCAGCAACUUGAUCUUAGACUUCCCAGCCUCCGUAACGCCUCUGCUUAUAAUCUGUCAUGGAUUGGAAAACUAGAAAAAACAGUUUACAGAGUAUAACAAACUUUGGAGGAGUUAAUCGACUCUAAGUAAAAGAGUAUCUAGCACGGCUGUGGAACAAAGGAGAGACUCACAAACUGUUGAAAGAAUAAAUGAAUGAAUGAAUUCUGUUCAUGAGCUUUAAUAAAACAGCUCUGAGUAGUAACAGUGGAUCAAAUUUAGGCUUCUUGAUGCAGGCAUGGUGUAGAUUACUACUUCUGUAUUGUCCCAGGAGCUCAGCACAUUCCUGCAGAGAUGAUAGGAGCUCAUCUGAUACUUGUCAGCUUUGAAUAAACUCCAGUCCCCAAGAGAGAGAAUGAGAAUCACCGGAAUACGAAACUUCCCUGUUGGACUUCCCAACAUUCUUGAAUGCACCAAGAUAGCCUCUUGCUGUGAGAUUAAUAAAUGAAUAAAUGCCUCCAUAUUUUUCAAAUCUGUGAAGUUAACAACAUGUAGAUUUUUUUGCAUAUUUAAAAACUGCAACUAAAUCUUAAUGCCUCUGAAGCAGAUGGAAGAAAAUAAUAGGCUUCCAUUAACUGUGUCAAAUUGUAUAGGUCUUGGCCAUCACUGGUCCUGUUGUGAUGAAGGUUUUUUGCCCUUGGAUAUAAUUUAAUUUUCAAUUCUUCUAAUUAUGGUACUUCAGAACAUCAAUAUUUGAGAUGAACUUCUCUAGUGUCAAGGACUGAUUUGAGUUGUGUAAACCCUGAAUAUCUGAGACAGGUCUCGAUUAUUUUAGAAAGUUUAUUUUGCCAAGGUUGAGGAUGUGUGCCUGUGACACGGCCUCGGGAGGUCCUGAGGACAUGUGCUCAAGGUGGUCAGAGCACAGCUUUGCUUUAUACAUUUUAGAGAGACAUGAGACAUCAACCGACAUAUGUAAGAUGAACAUUGGUUCCAUCUGGAAAGGCGAGACAACUUCAAACGAGGAGGGGGCUUCCAGGUCAUAGGUAGAUAAGAGACAAAUGGCUGCAUUCUUUUGAGUUUCUGAUUAGCCUUUCCAAAGGAGGCAAUUAGAGUGAGCAAAAUGAACAAAAUCAAUUAUUUUGAUUCUGAACAAAAUGGGAGGCUGGUUUUCCCUAAGCAGUUCCCAGCUUGACUUUUCCCUUUAGCUGAGGGAUUUGGGGGGCCCAAGAUUUAUUUUUCUUUCACCGUUGUAUCAAACUACACAGGCGGCCUUGGAAACCAUCACAGUUGAGAGUAGGUAACGCCCAUUUGUUGCAUAGUUUUGUGCUCCACACUCUUAUCUACAAAAUUAUGAAUUUUUUUACAUAUAUUAAUUUCAGAAAAACUAAAAAUAAAACAAAGUAGUUUCAAACUAGUAUUGUUUUUAUAUCUUAAAAAUAAAGCUUUAUAUACUCUCCUUAC